AGAGUUUGAUCCUGGCUCAGGACGAACGCUGGCGGCGUGCUUAACACAUGCAAGUCGAACGGAUUUCUGUUAAGGAAGUUUUCGGAUGGAAUUAACGGAAGUUAGUGGCGGACGGGUGAGUAACACGUGGAUAAUCUACCUUAAUGACCGGGACAACAGUUGGAAACGACUGCUAAUACCGGAUAAGCUCAGCAAUGAGGAAAGGAGGCCUCUCGAAGAAGCUCCCGCGUUAAGAUGAGUCCGCGUCUGAUUAGCUAGUUGGUGGGGUAAAGGCCUACCAAGGCGACGAUCAGUAGCCGGCCUGAGAGGGUGACCGGCCACAUUGGGACUGAGACACGGCCCAAACUCCUACGGGAGGCAGCAGUGGGGAAUCUUCCGCAAUGGGCGCAAGCCUGACGGAGCAACGCCGCGUGAACGAGGAAGGCCUUCGGGUCGUAAAGUUCUGUUGACAGGGACGAAUAAGCCAUGCGAACAGUUUGGUGUAUGACGGUACCUGUUUAGAAAGCUCCGGCUAACUACGUGCCAGCAGCCGCGGUAAUACGUAGGGAGCAAGCGUUGUCCGGAAUUACUGGGCGUAAAGGGCGCGUAGGCGGGUGAACAAGUCAGGUGUGAAAACUCUGGGCUCAACCUGGAGACUGCACUUGAAACUGUUUAUCUUGAGGGCAGGAGAGGAAAGUGGAAUUCCUAGUGUAGCGGUGAAAUGCGUAGAUAUUAGGAGGAACACCAGUGGCGAAGGCGACUUUCUGGACUGUACCUGACGCUGAGGCGCGAAAGCGUGGGUAGCGAACGGGACUAGAUACCCCGGUAGUCCACGCCGUAAACGAUGAUUACUAGGUGUAGGAGGUAUCGACUCCUUCUGUGCCGCAGCUAACGCAAUAAGUAAUCCGCCUGGGGACUACGGUCGCAAGACUAAAACUCAAAGGAAUUGACGGGGACCCGCACAAGCGGUGGAGCAUGUGGUUUAAUUCGACGCAACGCGAAGAACCUUACCUGGUCUUGACAUCCGGCUGACCGGACGGUAACGUGUCCUUUCCUUCGGGACAGCCGAGACAGGUGGUGCAUGGUUGUCGUCAGCUCGUGUCGUGAGAUGUUGGGUUAAGUCCCGCAACGAGCGCAACCCUUAUCUUUAGUAGCCAGCGGUUCGGCCGGGCACUCUAGAGAGACUGCCAGGGAUAACCUGGAGGAAGGUGGGGAUGACGUCAAAUCAUCAUGCCCCUUAUGAUCAGGGCUACACACGUGCUACAAUGGCGUAAACAAAGGGAAGCAGAGCCGCGAGGCCGAGCAAAUCUCAAAAAUAACGUCUCAGUUCGGAUUGUAGUCUGCAACUCGACUACAUGAAGCUGGAAUCGCUAGUAAUCGCGAAUCAGAAUGUCGCGGUGAAUACGUUCCCGGGUCUUGUACUCACCGCCCGUCA
This 1414-nucleotide ribosomal RNA is filed under the name uncultured bacterium. RNAcentral's name for it is "16S ribosomal RNA". It matches the Rfam family "Bacterial small subunit ribosomal RNA". The record is from RNAcentral.